UGGCCUUGUGACGGGAGCUGGAACUGCCGAUGAGCGCCAGGCCCGGAGCAGGGCCCAGCCUGGAAAACAGAGGAGAUUAAUCCUGAUCGAGAUGACAACCUCCCAAAAGCACCGAGACUUCGUGGCAGAGCCCAUGGGGGAAAAGCCAGUGGGGAGCCUGGUCGGGAUCGGUGAAGUCCUGGGCAAGAAGCUGGAGGAAAGGGGCUUUGACAAGGCUUAUGUGGUCCUUGGCCAGUUUCUGGUGCUAAAGAAAGAUGAAGACCUCUUCCAGGAAUGGCUAAAGGACACAUGUGGUGCCAAUGCCAAGCAGUCCCGGGACUGCUUUGGGUCCCUUCGAGAGUGGUGUGACGCCUUCUUGUGAUGCUCUCUGGGGAGCCCCCAAUCCCAAACUCCAGCCUUGAGUCUUCAGAGUUUGCAGCUCAGUGGGGACUACUCCCUUGUCCUCUACCAAGGAAGCGAUUGCUGUCUGCUCACCACCG
Molecule: RNA transcript, 479 nt
Organism: Myotis brandtii (Brandt's bat)
Lineage: Eukaryota; Metazoa; Chordata; Mammalia; Chiroptera; Vespertilionidae
Gene name: barrier-to-autointegration factor pseudogene
Exons: 1
Source: RefSeq, a predicted model, not a curated record